This 1820-nucleotide long non-coding RNA is filed under the name Mus musculus (house mouse). RNAcentral describes it as "predicted gene 12052 (Gm12052)". The record is from RNAcentral. Lineage: Eukaryota; Metazoa; Chordata; Mammalia; Rodentia; Muridae.
GUCCUGGUGCCAACAUACCUCCCUUCUUGUUAUAAAGAGAAGGGAAGGAAAAGGGAGGGGAAAGCCAAUGGUGAAAAGGGAACGAGAAUGCCGCAUCUCUUAAACUGCUUCCUGCUGUCUAGGGGCAUAGUCAAUUUCAGGGCAUAGCUGGCUUUCACCAUCAGGAUCCACGUGAUAAUCUAUGGACAGGGGCUCUUCUUUGGGCAGCGGCUGCUAAUCCUGUAACAGGAGCUGAUUAAUAGUUCAGUUAGAAAUUUUUUGUAUUUGCCAUUGAAGGAAUGUAGAAACAAGAUUAAUGAGGCAGAGAUCAAAUAACACCAGGAAGAUGACUAGGAAAGGUGUUAUGAAAGGGAGUAUCCACUUCCAAAUAGGAUUUUCCUAAGUCCCAGAACUGGAGGUCUCACAGUCUCUGAAGUUCUUUAUGUCUGACUGUAGCUCCUGGAUUUUAUUUCUCACUAUCCCAGAUUGGUUGACGUAGAAACAGCAUUCUUCUUGGAGAAACAGGCAAAGACUACCUUCUUUAGCUGUCAGGACAUCUAGCCCCCGACGGUUUUGAAACACCACAGCUGCCAAAGAAUCAGACUCUUCCUGGAUAUUACAUAGAGGGAAAAAGAACGAGUCAGGGCAGGAAGAUGUGAACAACUUUGAGCAGAGAAUCGAUGCAAAAGCAAGAAAAAUUUUAUUGUUCCAGCAUGCUGGUAUUGCCCUGCACAUAAAGGAGAGUGAGAGAACAGCCCAUUUGAGAGCUAUUUCAUCAGGACCUGAGAAAGCUUAGCCCUCAGAAGUGCUUAUAGUGAGACCACACAAUGACAUGCAACAUCACUCAGACUCGCUCUCUUACUGCAGACCCGAGGCACUGGCCCAAGCAUUCCACCAGGCUCCACCCAAACCCACCAGCUGGACGAGGAACCACGGGACGUUAGAAUCAGAGUAACUUUGGCCAACAAUCUGAGACACUUGGGAGAAAAUUCAUUCUAAAUCUAACAGCUUCCUGCUCUCAGGAAGGCCUCUGGGCUUCCGGUGCCUCUGGUCCUCCUUCCCGGCUCUUCUGUGGAGGCUAGCUUCCUCCAAGCUGACCCCGAGGGAGCCGCCUUCUCGUAGGUGGAAAGCGAAGAGAAGAGAGCGGGUAAGCAGUGGAGACACAUUGGCUGUACUCAGGACCUGUACCAGAGGUGGCAGGAGGACACCACCGAGCCCUGCUCCACCCAUCGCAGCCUCGAGACCCUCUGCGCGGGGAUGCUGACCCCUGCUGGCCACCUGAGAGAUUGCAGCGUGGCCGACUCCCAAGGGGCGGCAAGUGUAAGGGAAAAAGAGUGAGAGGAGCCGUAAGGGCUAUGGAGCCCAAAUCAGCAUGCCUCUAGGACCUACCUGAGCCUCCAGAAGACCCCUCAACAGGAACCGUUGUCCGAACCAACCAACUCCAAACCUAAACCUCAGAGGCCUCCUCAUGCAGACAGAUUGCUGACCUAUCUCUGGGGUAGUCAGCUGAAAUACCCCAGAGAUAUUCACGGCCUAAUCCCAGGAAGUUUCUUUAAAUGGCAAAAGAAACCUAGAGUGUGUUACCCUCGAUUAUUUAGGUAGAUUCUACAUGUAAUCAGGUAUAUCACCAAAGGGGAAGUGAGGUAAAGGAAUAUUUAUUUCACUACAGAACAGAAGGCAAGCCAUCUUGCAGGAGGACCUGAGGAGAGAAGGAGAGAGUCAGGAGAGAACAGAUUCCCUCUACAGUGCCCAGAGUCUCCCCUGACUGAUUUGGACCCAAUGAAAUUCCAAACUCUGGUGUCAAGAACUUUAAAAGAAUAAAUGUGUGCUGUUUUGAGGUA